CUUGAAUCCGGAAGGUGGAGGUUGCAGAUUGCGCCACUGCAUUCCAGCCUGGCGAGAGAGUGAGACUCUGUCUUAAAAAAAAAAGCCAUUAGGCCAGGCGUGGUAGCUCACUCCUAUAACCCCAGCACUUAGGGAGGCCAAGGCAGGUGGAUCACCUGAGGAAUAAUGCUUAUUACACACCUACCAAGUGCCAGACACUAACAAAUACCCUACUAUUUUAUGUCCCUAUCAAGGAGAACAAGUAUUCUAUUAAUCCCUACACUGUCCUAUGAGUUACAGCACACUUCUCUCUCAACAGAGGAGGAAACAGACUCAGAGAGAUGUAGUCAUUUGUUCAAGGUGACAAAACUAUCAUCUGUAAGUGCUGAGGUCUGUCUGACUCUUCAUGGUUGACAGUACCACAUCUAUCAAUAGUUUUCAGGGCGUGGUCCAGGGGCCAGUCCCUCUGUUCUCUCAGGAGCAUAGAGUGGAGUUUUCCAGAGGUUAUAGGACAUGUGGU
This is a long non-coding RNA of Homo sapiens (human), 499 nucleotides long. NCBI's taxonomy places the organism in Eukaryota, Metazoa, Chordata, Mammalia, Primates, Hominidae. The record is from Ensembl.